Molecule: ribosomal RNA, 103 nt
Filed under: Motiliproteus coralliicola
Lineage: Bacteria; Pseudomonadati; Pseudomonadota; Gammaproteobacteria; Oceanospirillales; Oceanospirillaceae
Description: partial 23S ribosomal RNA
Rfam family: Bacterial large subunit ribosomal RNA (bases 1-87)
Source: RNAcentral
UCAAGACCAGGACGUUGAUAGGCUGGGUGUGUAAGCGUUGUGAGGCGUUGAGCUAACCAGUACUAAUUGCUCGUGCGGCUUGACCAUAUAACGCCAAAGCGGU